AGUGUGGCCCUUUGGAGUUUUUUGGGGUCUUAGCUUUCUCUCUAGGAAAGCCUCUAAAGUUUCCAUCUUUUCUUCCUCUCUUCCAUUGAAACACCACCCAUCCAUUAAAGCUUUAGUUGUGUUGAAGGAGAACCCAUUUUUGAAGAUUUGGGUGCUUUCUAAACCUCUCAAGCUUUUAUUUUUCUGUUCUAAAAGGAACCAAGAUCUGUGAGUGCAUUGGAUUCUAUUUGUCGUGUGGACCCUUGUGAUACCGAGUUCGAGUCAGAGGGGCAUACGGGUACAGGUUCAGGUAACUCGGGGGUUGAUACCUUGGGCGACAGGAGGCCAGAGCUGAGUUGAGAUAUAUGCUGUUUAUGAUGAUAUGUUUGGACGCUGACAUAUUCGUUAUUUAUUAUUAUGUUGUUUGGGUUGAGACUCUAUUGGGCUUUGUUGCCUUAUUUGGUGAGCAUGGGGGUUGUCCAUGCCACAUUGACUUUACUUUGUUGAUUUAGAUUCGCAUUGUAUAAUGUAUCAGGAUUAUGGUCC
Gastrolobium bilobum is the source of this 525-nucleotide long non-coding RNA. RefSeq lists it as uncharacterized. The record is from RefSeq and is a predicted model, not a curated record. Lineage: Eukaryota; Viridiplantae; Streptophyta; Magnoliopsida; Fabales; Fabaceae. The transcript has 3 exons.